GAUGAACGCUGGCGGCGUGCCUAAUACAUGCAAGUCGAGCGAACAGACGAGGAGCUUGCUCCUCUGACGUUAGCGGCGGACGGGUGAGUAACACGUGGAUAACCUACCUAUAAGACUGGGAUAACUUCGGGAAACCGGAGCUAAUACCGGAUAAUAUAUUGAACCGCAUGGUUCAAUAGUGAAAGACGGUUUUGCUGUCACUUAUAGAUGGAUCCGCGCCGCAUUAGCUAGUUGGUAAGGUAACGGCUUACCAAGGCGACGAUGCGUAGCCGACCUGAGAGGGUGAUCGGCCACACUGGAACUGAGACACGGUCCAGACUCCUACGGGAGGCAGCAGUAGGGAAUCUUCCGCAAUGGGCGAAAGCCUGACGGAGCAACGCCGCGUGAGUGAUGAAGGUCUUCGGAUUGUAAAACUCUGUUAUUAGGGAAGAACAAAUGUGUAAGUAACUAUGCACGUCUUGACGGUACCUAAUCAGAAAGCCACGGCUAACUACGUG
RNAcentral lists this ribosomal RNA (497 nucleotides) under uncultured bacterium. RNAcentral's name for it is "partial 16S ribosomal RNA". It matches the Rfam family "Bacterial small subunit ribosomal RNA", at positions 28 to 507 of the family's 1533-position model. The record is from RNAcentral.